UACGUAGGGUGCAAGCGUUGUCCGGAAUCAUUGGGCGUAAAGCGCGCGUAGGCGGCCCGGUAAGUCCGCUCUGAAAAUCCAGGGCUCAACCCUGGAAAGCGGGUGGAUACUGCCGGGCUAGAAUCCGGAAGAGGCGAGUGGAAUUCCUGGUGUAGCGGUGGAAUGCGCAGAUAUCAGGAGGAACACCAAUAGCGAAGGCAGCUCGCUGGGACGGUAUUGACGCUAAGGCGCGAAAGCGUGGGGAGCAAACAGG
This 253-nucleotide ribosomal RNA is filed under the name uncultured bacterium. RNAcentral describes it as "partial 16S ribosomal RNA". It matches the Rfam family "Bacterial small subunit ribosomal RNA", at positions 524 to 776 of the family's 1533-position model. The record is from RNAcentral.